ACUCCUGCGGGAGGCAGCAGUGAGGAAUAUUGGACAAUGGGUGGAAGCCUGAUCCAGCCAUCCCGCGUGCAGGAAGACGGCCCUAUGGGUUGUAAACUGCUUUUAUCUGGGGAUAAACCUACUUACGUGUAAGUAGCUGAAGGUACCAGAAGAAUAAGCACCGGCUAACUCCGUGCCAGCAGCCGCGGUAAUACGGAGGGUGCAAGCGUUAUCCGGAUUUAUUGGGUUUAAAGGGUCCGUAGGCGGACUGAUAAGUCAGUGGUGAAAUCCGACAGCUUAACUGUCGAACUGCCAUUGAUACUGUUAGUCUUGAGUAAGGUUGAAGUGGCUGGAAUAAGUAGUGUAGCGGUGAAAUGCAUAGAUAUUACUUAGAACACCAAUUGCGAAGGCAGGUCACUAAGUCUUAACUGACGCUGAUGGACGAAAGCGUGGGGAGCGAACAGGAUUAGAAACCCCGGUAGUCC
RNAcentral lists this ribosomal RNA (464 nucleotides) under uncultured organism. RNAcentral describes it as "partial 16S ribosomal RNA". It matches the Rfam family "Bacterial small subunit ribosomal RNA", at positions 335 to 796 of the family's 1533-position model. The record is from RNAcentral.